UACGGGGGGGGCAAGCGUUGUUCGGAAUUACUGGGCGUAAAGGGCGCGUAGGCGGCAAAUUAAGUCAGCUGUGAAAUCUCCGAGCUUAACUCGGAACUGUCAGCUGAUACUGAUCUGCUAGAGUGCGGAAGGGGCAAUCGGAAUUCUUGGUGUAGCGGUGAAAUGCGUAGAUAUCAAGAGGAACACCUGAGGUGAAGACGGGUUGCUGGGCCGACACUGACGCUGAGUGCGCGAAAGCCAGGGGAGCAAACGGG
RNAcentral lists this ribosomal RNA (254 nucleotides) under uncultured bacterium. RNAcentral's name for it is "partial 16S ribosomal RNA". It matches the Rfam family "Bacterial small subunit ribosomal RNA", at positions 524 to 776 of the family's 1533-position model. The record is from RNAcentral.